GGAGACAUGGCCAAGUGGUAAGGCAGAAGCCUGCAAAGCUUUUAUCCCCGGUUCAAAUCCGGGUGUCUCCU
Molecule: transfer RNA, 71 nt
Filed under: bacterium
Lineage: Bacteria
Also listed under: 3 other names
Description: tRNA-Cys
Rfam family: tRNA
About the family: Transfer RNA (tRNA) molecules are approximately 80 nucleotides in length.
Source: RNAcentral